RNAcentral lists this ribosomal RNA (117 nucleotides) under Wenzhouxiangella sp. XN24. The record is from RNAcentral. Lineage: Bacteria; Pseudomonadati; Pseudomonadota; Gammaproteobacteria; Chromatiales; Wenzhouxiangellaceae.
CCUGGCGGCCAUAGCGAGCGGGAACCACCCGAUCCCUUUCCGAACUCGGAAGUGAAAACGCUCAGCGCCGAUGGUAGUGCAGGGUUCUCCCUGUGUGAGAGUAGGUCACUGCCAGGC